GAUGAACGCUGGCGGCGUGCUUAACACAUGCAAGUCGAACGAAGCAUUUAGAACAGAUUACUUCGGUUUGAAGUUCUUUAUGACUGAGUGGCGGACGGGUGAGUAACGCGUGGGUAACCUGCCUUGUACUGGGGGAUAGCAGCUGGAAACGGCUGGUAAUACCGCAUAAGCGCACAAUGUUGCAUGACAUGGUGUGAAAAACUCCGGUGGUAUAAGAUGGACCCGCGUCUGAUUAGCUAGUUGGUGAGAUAACAGCCCACCAAGGCGACGAUCAGUAGCCGACCUGAGAGGGUGACCGGCCACAGUGGGACUGAGACACGGCCCAGACUCCUACGGGAGGCAGCAGUGGGGAAUAUUGCACAAUGGAGGAAACUCUGAUGCAGCGACGCCGCGUGAGUGAAGAAGUAAUUCGUUAUGUAAAGCUCUAUCAGCAGGGAAGAUAGUGACGGUACCUGACUAAGAAGCUCCGGCUAAAUACGUG
Molecule: ribosomal RNA, 481 nt
Filed under: uncultured bacterium
Lineage: Bacteria
Description: partial 16S ribosomal RNA
Rfam family: Bacterial small subunit ribosomal RNA
Source: RNAcentral